Molecule: non-coding RNA, 188 nt
Organism: Parasteatoda tepidariorum (common house spider)
Lineage: Eukaryota; Metazoa; Arthropoda; Arachnida; Araneae; Theridiidae
Source: RefSeq, a predicted model, not a curated record
GAGUACAAACUCUUAAAUCAAAUGAAGAAUUUACAUAUUCGUUGAAAAUUUGUGAAGAAGAUUCAAAUAUUCAAUUACCCAUUAUUGACCCAAACUCAUCAGUUGUUUUCGUAAAGUCACAUGAAGAAGAGGGCCCAAGGAUAUUUGCAAUAAAGAGAAACAUUAAAGAUAAAAGGAAUGAAACAUGA